UUGAUAAAUCUCAGGAAAAGUGGGGACAGCUCCCUGGACCGGGGCUCCACUCUCUCUGGGAAUUUUGCCAGAGCCCGCCAUAGCAAAAACCGGAAGUUGGUAUGGUCGAGUCUUUCCUGACAGUUGGUCUGCAGCACUAACUGCUCCUGAUACAGAGCCCCGGCGCCUCCUUCCUGGGUCUGCUCCCAGCUUCUGUCUCCAGCGGGCUUCUCCUCUUCUAUGUCCCUCUGCAGUUCUUUCUCUGCAGAGAAAAAGUCAUCAUAGCAUUGAGAAUGCAGGAGAAGGAAGAAGUGGAAAUCUUCAUGAGGAAGGCUUUUCUCGCCUAGCAGUGACUGACACAGGACACCCCUUUGCGACAGACCAAGUCCCUGUGACUAUGCGGCUCCGCCCACCAGGACACCAAUUCUCACCCCCUGAAUCUGGCCCUGCCUGGUGACUUGCUCUGAUCACUAAUGUCUGACAGAGCCACCGUGUUACACCC
Molecule: long non-coding RNA, 481 nt
Filed under: Heterocephalus glaber (naked mole-rat)
Lineage: Eukaryota; Metazoa; Chordata; Mammalia; Rodentia; Bathyergidae
Description: lncRNA (ENSHGLG00000046014.1)
Source: RNAcentral